Molecule: unclassified non-coding RNA, 526 nt
Filed under: Hevea brasiliensis (rubber tree)
Lineage: Eukaryota; Viridiplantae; Streptophyta; Magnoliopsida; Malpighiales; Euphorbiaceae
Source: RNAcentral
GUGCGCCAUUGACAACAUCCAGCCCUCCUCAUGGAGCCUCUAGCGAAUCAUCUGACGAAAAUGGUAGUAGCCCACUUAAUCGAGAUCCUGGAAUCUAUAGUAAUGCAAGUCAACCCAUUCCUAAUAUGAAUUUUUACCAACUAUGGGCUACCCAAAAUCCACAUUGAAGAGCUUGAGGCAUUGACAUGGCAAUUGUACUUGCAUAGCAGAUUUGAGGUCAAAUCCUAAUGCUAACAUGCAUUGUUGAAUACAGGCUGCAGAUGAGCUUUUCAUAUUAUUUCCUUCAAGAGCAGGUUCCUCCUUCUGGAGUAGCUUUAGUUAUCUUUCUCAUAUGAUUUGGACACAUCUAUUAGUGGUAGCUGCAUGUCACCCCUUCUAAGUUUGGCUUAGUUCAAUUUACUAUUUAGGUAUAAUUGUUUUAGUUUUGUGUUUCCUGUUUCUAGCUUCUGCUAUAUUCAUUCAUAACCUCUUAAAAGAGUGUAUAUUACUUGCAGAAACUAGAAACAGGAAACACAAAACUAAAACA